AAUUAACCCUCACUAAAGAGAGUUUGAUCCUGGCUCAGCCUGAACGCUGGCGGCGUGGCUAAGACAUGCAAGUCGUACGGACCCGCAAGGUCAGUGGCGAACGGGUGAGUAAUGAAUCGCUAAUGUGCCCCGGACUCAGGGAUAGCCGUUCGAAAGGACGGGUAAUACCUGAUGAUAUAACCUUGUCGCAUGGCAGGGUUCUCAAAGGUCCGCSGGUCUGGGAGCAGGCGAUUUCGUAUCAGCUAGUUGGUAGGGUAACGGSCCUACCAAAGGCGACGACGCGUAGCCGGACUGAGAGGUUGGCCGGCCACAUUGGGACUGAGACACUGCCCCAGACUCCUACGGGGGGCUGCAGUAACGAAUCUUCCGCAAUGCACGAAAGUGUGACGGAGCGACGCCGCGUGUGGGACGAAGYCYUUCGGGAUGUAAACCACUGUCAGGGGUUACCAAGUUCUGAGGAGCCCCAGAGGAAGGCACGGCUAACUCUGUGCCAGCAGCCGCGGUAAGACAGAGGUGCCAAGCGUUAGGCGGAAUCACUGGGCUUAAAGCGUGUGUAGGCGGAUCGUUAAGUACCUUGUGAAAUCCCACGGCUCAACCGUGGAACUGCUCGGUAUACUGGCGAUCUUGAGCCACCUAGGGGCAACUGGAACAAGCGGUGGAGCGGUGAAAUGCGUAGAUAUCGCUUGGAACGCCAACGGUGAAAACAGGGUUGCUGGGGGGUGUGCUGACGCUGAGACACGAAAGCCAGGGGAGCGAACGGGAUUAGAUACCCCGGUAGUCCUGGSCCUAAACGAUGUCGACUAGAUCGUAGUGCCUCUGACGGUAUUACGGUCGAAGSAAAAGUGCUAAGUCGACCCGCCUGGGAAGUACGGUCGCAAGGCUAAAACUCAAAGGAAUUGACGG
This 903-nucleotide ribosomal RNA is filed under the name uncultured bacterium. RNAcentral's name for it is "partial 16S ribosomal RNA". It matches the Rfam family "Bacterial small subunit ribosomal RNA", at positions 1 to 916 of the family's 1533-position model. The record is from RNAcentral.